This is an RNA transcript of Sorghum bicolor (sorghum), 3310 nucleotides long. It is a transcript of the gene named BTB/POZ domain-containing protein FBL11, with no coding region annotated. The record is from RefSeq and is a predicted model, not a curated record. Lineage: Eukaryota; Viridiplantae; Streptophyta; Magnoliopsida; Poales; Poaceae. The transcript has 19 exons.
ACAAACUGAAGGAACAGCCCAUGAGUCUAUAACCAAGCACCACGGCCAUGGCCUUCCCCGGCGACGGGGAACACGCCGCCGCCAAUACCGCCGGCGACGCGGUGGUCCUAGAGAUCACCGACACAUCAUCCGUCUCCGCCGCCCGUGCUCCAUCCUCACCUCAUCCCCUGCCGGUCUCCAUCUCCGACCUCGCGUGCUUCGACCCGCUCCCAUCCCCAACCGUCGCCGUUCGCGUCGACCGACACAGGCUAAUCGAGAGCUCCUCCUACUUCCGCGCGCUCCUCGGCGGCAGCUUCAGUGAAUCCGGCCGAGAGCAUGUGCACGUGAGCUGUAAUUUGGAGGCUGCCGUGCAAGUGCUGCGCUACCUUUUUGAGCCUUCCGAGAGCUUCAACAUCACGCACGACAAUUUCCUUCCGCUGUUGGAGGGAGCUUUGUUUCUUGCUGUUGAGAGCCUUCUAGUGGAGUGUGAAAGAUGGUUCAGCACCAUAGCCUCUCAAACUUCCGCCAUUGUUUCAGUUCCAUUAGAUUUCAUAAUUGAAGUCUGGGACUUUGCUCAAGAGCAUGGUGUUACUUUUGUUCAAGACAUUUGCCGAGAAUUUCUAGCUCAGAAUUUUGCACAUGUUAUCUCAAGAAGGUCAUUUAAUAAAAUACCUUAUGAUUUGCUAUGUUCAACGAUCGAAUGUCCACAUCUGACGGUGGAUAGUGAAAAACAAUUGUGUGAAGCAAUUUUGUAUUGGGUUUCAGAAAAUAUGAAAACCUGUGAACAAUCAAACCCCAACUCAGUAGAUGGCCACCUCUUCCUUCUUAGCAAGGUGAAGAUAUGCCUUUUACCUUUGGGAUUUGCUGCAGGAACAAAGAGGCAUUGGUUUGAGUUUGGAAACAACAUCGUCUGCACAAUUCUUGAUCUUCUCAAGGACAGCUUGAAAACUUUAUUGGAUGCUAUUGCUGAUGAUAACUUGGAGAGAUAUUGCAUUAGAAUAACAGAAUAUUCAAAGAACAUAGUGCUUUCAGGAUGUCCCCAAGUAACUACAGCAUUCUUGUACAUAUCUGUUCUCCCUACUGAUCUGGAUGUUUCAUUUAAGAGAAGGAUAGUGAGUUCAUACACCCAGGUUGAUCAUCGAAGCUUCAUUCUUUAUGAUGAACUAGAGAAGGCUGCUAAAACCUUAUCAUUCAAGAAUGUACACAUGGUGGAUAUUUCGAAAUGUCCAAAUGUUCAUUUUGGUGCAGCCAUUGACUGGUUGAAGUUGUUUUUUCCAGAAUUAAGGAUAUUCAGGGUUUCACAUUGUUUAUCGUUUCAAUUUGAUGAUUUACUGUAUCUGUUACUGAGAUGUCCAUGGAUUGAUGAAAUUGAUAUGACUAUUGAUACUAGCACUGUAACACCCCAACAUUCAGUAGUCUCAUCUAGUUCAGAAGUCCUAAGCAAAGUGAAACCAAAUCAGAAAAGAUAUGGCAUACAUUGUCCACCAUAUGACAUGCAACUGAAUUCUGUUUUCUUAAAUAUAUCAAGAUUGACAUUGGAAGGCAGAAGUGAUAUUGAUGAUGUGGGCUUGCUGGAGAUAUCUGUUCUGAAAAGUUCUCUCUGCUAUAUAAACAUCAGAAACUGCUUCCUGUUGACAGAUGAUGGUAUUUCUAACCUUCUGAUGAAGUGUACAAAGAUCCAUUCAAUGGUUCUUUCUUAUACUUCUUUUGGAAAUCGAUCAAUUCAAACGCUAUGCGCUACCAAUCCUUCUGGCCACAACAGUGGAAAUGCUCAUGUUAUGGCAUUUUAUAUGCAAGAAUUACAUCUGGAUGGCUGCAAGGGUCUUGACUCUGCUGCUUUGUCACAGCUAAUGAGUAUUAUAAGUAUCACAAAGUUUCUGAGCUUAAGGGAAACAUCACUUACAGAUGGUGCACUCUGCAAUUUUGUUGGCUCUAGUCUCGAGUACCUUGACGUUUCAGAGACUGUGAUUUCUAUGGUAUCAUUAGCGCCAGUUAUACGAAGAAAUUGUAAAUUGAACUGUCUGAAAACAGCUGGAUGCCAUAGUCUUCUGUUGGAAUGUGGUAAUGUAGAACAUAUCAGUGGUAACAAGUAUGGAGAUUUUCUACAGGAGGUAGGAAUUACCUGCUGUUUGGAGGAUGUUGAAAUGGGCUGGGGAUUUUGCCCUAUUCGAAUCGAAGAUCUUGUUCCUUCUUUUAGCAAAGUAAGGAAUAUGACAAUUGGUCUCGGCACAGCAUUAGCUGAGAAUGUCCUGUGUGCUGUUCCUAUGAUUUGUCCAUUCCUCGAGUCUUUGAUUCUGAGGUUUCAGGUGAUAUCUGACAGAGUUGUUAGAAAUCUAUUGGAAUCAGCAACGAAUCUUCAGAGAAUUGUGAUUUGGCUGAACUUUCACUGUCUGGUUGCAAACUCCUUGACUCCAGCUCUCAAGACAUCAUCUCAUCUGGGUGGCCAAAAUUGGCACUUUUGCACCUUGAGGAAUGUGGUAAAGUAACCGUUGAAGGAGUUUCUUCUUUUUUCAAUUGUAAAGCUUUGGAAGACAUCCUACUACGGCACACGGUGAGUAUGAAAAGUCAUAGCUGGUUCUUGAGAUAUAGUUCUGGUGGUGAGUCCUAAAACACAACGUAGGACCAUACUAAAUGAUGCGAGCAACUUAAUGCUUGUUAGCUGCUACUCAAAGAGGAAGUGGUGCCUGGCAUGGUCACAGUCAAAACAAACUUUCACCAUGCUAUUGCAAAAUCGCAGUCCAUCUAUAUGUCAUUUGCAGGAUGUAUGCAAGUGUAACUUUUCUUUGUUGAAGAAGUUGAAUUGUCUGUUGGUUACAUAGUUUCUGAGAGUUGAGAACCGCAGGGUAGGGGCAUUGGAAGGAGCAUCAUAGACGAUGCUAUCAGAGAGUUACCACUUCUGCGGAAGCUGGCUUUGGAUCUUUGUGAUGCCUGUGAAGAAGGUUAUGAUAGCCCAAAUAUUGCGGAAGGGACGAUGAUUAGAAGUGUAAGGAUGAGUCGAUGCAAGACGAUGAAGGGGUCCUGUUUGGAGGUCCCUAGACAAGGGUCUUCAAGGCCGGUGCACAAGGACACCGUAGUGCUGGAAUGGAGCAGCAGAAGGCUCACAACCACCAUAGUGAAAGAAAGAGUGUGAUAAGCCUCAUUUCUGUACCUGAUGAAGAACAAGAGUAGUCCACAACAUAUGUGGCUUGUAUGAAUGUUGUUUUUUUUUUCCCUUUCUGCUGAUUUUGAAUGCUUUGUCUGUGUGAAGUUAUACAAGUGUGACGGACACGUACUUGGUUCCAUGCUUUUGUUUGUAUGUAUGGUACCAAACGAAGAUCAUUUCUGACAAGUU